RNAcentral lists this ribosomal RNA (167 nucleotides) under uncultured bacterium. RNAcentral's name for it is "partial 16S ribosomal RNA". It matches the Rfam family "Bacterial small subunit ribosomal RNA", at positions 340 to 524 of the family's 1533-position model. The record is from RNAcentral.
UACGGGAGGCAGCAGUAGGGAAUUUUAGACAAUGGGGGAAACCCUGAUCUAGCCAUGCCGCGUGUGUGAUGAAGGCCUUAGGGUCGUAAAGCACUUUCGCCAGAGAUGAUAAUGACAGUAUCUGGUAAAGAAACCCCGGCUAACUACGUGCCAGCAGCCGCGGUAAU